RNAcentral lists this ribosomal RNA (648 nucleotides) under Sarcogyne pruinosa. RNAcentral describes it as "SSU rRNA". It matches the Rfam family "Bacterial small subunit ribosomal RNA", at positions 399 to 1086 of the family's 1533-position model. Lineage: Eukaryota; Fungi; Ascomycota; Lecanoromycetes; Acarosporales; Acarosporaceae. The record is from RNAcentral.
GCUAGUUGUAUUGACUAAUUUGUUAAUAUAAUAUCGACUCUGUCGAAUAAAAUUCUAGGUAGAGGGUUUGAUUAUGACAUUCUCUAUCUUUGUCUUGACCAAAUUACGUGCCAGCAGUCGCGGUAAUACGUAGAAGACAAGUGUUAUUCAUCUUUAAUUGGUUUAAAGGGUACCUAGACGGUAAUGAAGCUCUAAUGGAGUACUAUUUGCUAGAGUUAGAUAUAAGGAUGCUUUAAUGUAGUAACGAGUGUAGAGAUGAAAUUCUUUGAUACCGUAGGUUGGACAGAUUAAGGCGAAAGCAUCAUCUUAUGUAAUAACUGACGUUGAAGGACGAAGGCUAUCAACCCCUAAAGGGAUUAGGUACCCCUGUAGCUGUAGCAGAAAAUGAUGAAUGUCAUAGGUUAGAUAUAAUCUAGUCUAUAAAUGAAAGUGUAAGCAUUCCACCUCAAGAGUAAUUUGGCAACAUUGGAACUGAAAUCAUUAGACCGUUUCUGAAACCAGUAGUGAAGUAUGUUGUUUAAUUUGAUGAUCCGCAAAAAACCUUACCACAACUUGAAUAUCUCUUUUUUGAUUAGUGAAAAGGAUGAGAAAGAGAAACAAGCGUUGCACGGUUGUCUUCAGUUAAUGUCGUGAGAUUAUGGUUAGUUC